GGGACUGUAACUCAGUGGUAGAGUAGCGGCCUUUGGGGAAGUAAUUCAAUUGGAAGAAAACGCGAAUGCAAGUUCGAAUCUUGCCUUCUCCACCAUAAGCCGUCUGUCGUGAGUUCAAAUCUCACCAGUCUCA
Molecule: transfer RNA, 133 nt
Filed under: Caudoviricetes sp.
Lineage: Duplodnaviria; Heunggongvirae; Uroviricota; Caudoviricetes
Description: tRNA-Gln
Rfam family: tRNA
About the family: Transfer RNA (tRNA) molecules are approximately 80 nucleotides in length. Their secondary structure includes four short double-helical elements and three loops (D, anti-codon, and T loops).
Source: RNAcentral